This 820-nucleotide ribosomal RNA is filed under the name Staphylococcus pseudintermedius. RNAcentral describes it as "partial 23S ribosomal RNA". It matches the Rfam family "Bacterial large subunit ribosomal RNA", at positions 380 to 1202 of the family's 2925-position model. The record is from RNAcentral. Lineage: Bacteria; Bacillati; Bacillota; Bacilli; Caryophanales; Staphylococcaceae.
CGAAAACGAAUUCUCUCUUGAGUGGAUCCUGAGUACGACGGAGCACGUGAAAUUCCGUCGGAAUCUGGGAGGACCAUCUCCUAAGGCUAAAUACUCUCUAGUGACCGAUAGUGAACCAGUACCGUGAGGGAAAGGUGAAAAGUACCCCGGAAGGGGAGUGAAAGAGAACUUGAAACCGUGUGCUUACAAGUAGUCAGAGCCCGUUAAUGGGUGAUGGCGUGCCUUUUGUAGAAUGAACCGGCGAGUUACGAUCUGAUGCAAGGUUAAGCAGAAAAUGUGGAGCCGUAGCGAAAGCGAGUCUGAAUAGGGCGAAUGAGUAUUUGGUCGUAGACCCGAAACCAGGUGAUCUACCCUUGGUCAGGUUGAAGUUCAGGUAACACUGAAUGGAGGACCGAACCGACUUACGUUGAAAAGUGAGCGGAUGAACUGAGGGUAGCGGAGAAAUUCCAAUCGAACUUGGAGAUAGCUGGUUCUCUCCGAAAUAGCUUUAGGGCUAGCCUCAAGUGAUGAUUAUUGGAGGUAGAGCACUGUUUGGACGAGGGGCCCCUCUCGGGUUACCGAAUUCAGACAAACUCCGAAUGCCAAAUAAUUUAACUUGGGAGUCAGAAUGUGGGUGAUAAGGUCCAUAUUCGAAAGGGAAACAGCCCAGACCACCAGCUAAGGUCCCAAAAUAUAUGUUAAGUGGAAAAGGAUGUGGCGUUGCCCAGACAACUAGGAUGUUGGCUUAGAAGCAGCCAUCAUUUAAAGAGUGCGUAAUAGCUCACUAGUCGAGUGACACUGCGCCGAAAAUGUACCGGGGCUAAACAUAUUACCGAAGCUG